CAGCCACACUAUGAUUUAAAUCAAUACAAUACACAUUCGUAACAUCGUCAAAAAAUAACGAAAAUCCAUAUACCCCGAUUCCGCCAAACUUCUUAUACAAACGCGGCCCAACGGUAUCUGAAAACAUUAAUAGUUCGUACGGAAGUAUAAGUGAAAUGGUAUCUCUUCUCCCGGAAUUCAACCCAUCAUCCAUCAAGUCCUUAGAUUCGCAACAAUUCAUUAGACUCCCUUCAAACCGCAUAUCGUUGGGAUGAUCGAAAUCUAAUAUUUGCAGUUCAACACAAAAAAGGGUAAUAAUCGAAGACGAUCCAAAACACGUGCAUGCAAAUCAGCUGUCAACAAUUAAGUGUACAUUCAAAAUGGCCCAGCUUGUCGGCAUAAGGGAUAGACAGGAGUACCAACAUAACGCCACAAAAAAAUCAAAAUUCGCGAAAAUUCAAAAAUUCGCGAUACUUUGCGAAAUUCGGGAAAUAAUAUGUAUUUAUUCUAAAUCUACUAUUAAUUAGUUUGCAGGGGCGACGAGCGUGGGCGUGGUCGCAUUUUUUUCACAAAUUAUCAAUGCUAUAACAAUAAAAUGUGUGAAGUUUAAACCAUGUAACUCAAUUUUUCGACUUUAUGCCCAAAAAUCUAAUUCUGGACAAUAGUGCAGUGGUUGUACGUACUAAAUAGGUAUUAAAUGUUUCGAUACUUCUACAUUGCAGCCCUAAUUACAAUGUAACCCUAGACAAGAGCAAGUUAUCGAUAGGAAGGGAGCGAGUGUAGAGUCGAGAGUCAAGUGGAAAAGUUGUCAAAAGCGGUUGUUACUAAAUCUAAAUUUCGUCAUAAGUCUAUAUAAUUAAAUGUUAAGCUAUAUUUUUUGUUUAUAUAAACCAUAUAAGCGGAAAACUUGCCCUAAUGCUCGCUCAUGAUUCCAUCCUGGACAUGGCAACAAAUGCCGCAUGCAUAUACAUUGCGCACAAGAACAAUUCAGAGAACAGGCUGGUUACAAGCCCAGAAAGGCAAGGAGACAACAGAGGGCCGAGAAAAGCCUCCCUGCUGGUUGCACAAGCAAUCGGCGACAAACGCCUUGGAAUGGCACGGUCUAUUCUCUGACUAGAGCUUCAAAUUACCGCAAGCCGAUAUUGACGACCCAGAGAAAGCAGCUAACGGCUCGAUCGCCCAUUUCAAAUCCAGGCGUCAUCGGUGCUGUCAAUCCAAUAUAAAAAUUGUCUUUAAGUAGCCUGGGAGGCGAGAAGAGGAAGUCAGCAGGAUGGUAAAACCUAAGCCACCGCUAUACGCCGCGCUGAGCCCUAGUGGCUCGGCGAUUGUUAAAAAGUUUAAAAGUUAAAAAUUUUACUGAAUCGAAGUUGCCAGAAGCAGUAACGUAGUGUAAAGCAUCGUUCGGCGAUGAAUUCCCUACUUUCCUCAUUGACAUACAGCUCUAUCACGAUGUUGUCGCAGAACUGAGGGACCUGCCGCUCCACAUCAUUGCAGUCUAGGGUGGAGCGAUUGACCACGGCCCACUUGUCGGUGUUUAGGCCCGGGUUCUGCGACUCCUCACGUCCUCAGGAAGCCGAAGAACUCGAUUAAGGGCUGGCAGGAGUGCGGCGGGCACAUACCAUGGACGGCUGACAUGACCCAUUGGGCGGUUUCCUCAUCCUCGCAGACCACUAGCAUGCUGGAGUCGAACGUCUGCGGAUAGAUACUCAAAUCAGCUGUUCGCUAGCACACUUUUAAAAGCUGUCAACAAGUUUUGUUGCCACUUUUCAAGAUAUAUUAACAUCGAAAACUCGACUUUACGCCAAAAAAAUCGAUUUCUGGACCACAGUUCACUGCGAGUAUUCUUACUCGAACCGAUUCCCACACAAAUAAUGGCGUGCAAGUCGGAGCCGAGGACCAGCAGCAGCGCAGUGGAGCAACUGGUGGAGUGCAAAAAUAGGAAAAUAGGAAUUGCAGAAGGCGGGAUACUUGGCCGCCGUAUGCGAACACAAUGCCCGAGAACCGGCGAUACGGUCUGGUGAUAACAAACCAGAGUUCGGACGCGGACGGUGUGGACACCGUUGCCCUAAUUGUGAACGCCAACCGACGCCGAUGCGUAGAAUGCCGCGCUGUUCUUCUUACUUGUAACGGGGAUUUCAUCUGGCGCUGCUGUUUGCCACCAUAGGCUUCAUACCUCAACCUUAGCUAACAUGGUGCAUACAUGGUACAUACAUACAUAAUACUGUGGGCCUUACGAGUAUCUAUCCGCAGACGUUCGACUCCAGCAUGCUAGUGGUCUGCGAGGAUGAGGAAACCGCCCAAUGGGUCAUGUCAGCCGUCCAUGGUAUGUGCCCGCCGCACUCCUGCCAGCCCUUAAUCGAGUUCUUCGGCCUCCUGAGGACGUGAGGAGUCGCAGAACCCGGGCCUAAACACCGACAAGUGGGCCGUGGUCAAUCGCUCCACCCUAGACUGCAAUGAUGUGGAGCGGCAGGUCCCUCAGUUCUGCGACAACAUCGUGAUAGAGCUGUAUGUCAAUGAGGAAAGUUGGGAAUUCAUCGCCGAACGAUGCUUUAAACUACGUUACUGCUUCUGGCAACAUCGAUUCAGUUUUGAUUGCUAGGACGUUUUUGGGUUUUCCAAAUUAUUUGUUAAUAUUUUUUGGCUAUUUACUCGAAAUAGUAAAAUUUUAUGAAAUUAGAAAAGUAAACGUGAAUAAAAGUUAUUAAAAAAAAAAAUAUGGCGGCUUCGCGGCAACUGCAUA
This is an RNA transcript of Drosophila yakuba, 2719 nucleotides long. RefSeq lists it as uncharacterized. The transcript is spliced from 6 exons. Lineage: Eukaryota; Metazoa; Arthropoda; Insecta; Diptera; Drosophilidae. The record is from RefSeq and is a predicted model, not a curated record.